UUCCCGCUGACGAGCGGCGGACGGGUGAGUAAUGCUUAGGAAUCUGCCCAGUAGUGGGGGAUAGCCCGGGGAAACCCGGAUUAAUACCGCAUACGUCCUACGGGAGAAAGCAGGGGAUCUUCGGACCUUGCGCUAUUGGAUGAGCCUAAGUCGGAUUAGCUAGUUGGUGGGGUAAAGGCCUACCAAGGCGACGAUCCGUAGCUGGUCUGAGAGGAUGAUCAGCCACAUCGGGACUGAGACACGGCCCGAACUCCUACGGGAGGCAGCAGUGGGGAAUAUUGGACAAUGGGGGCAACCCUGAUCCAGCCAUGCCGCGUGUGUGAAGAAGGCUUUCGGGUUGUAAAGCACUUUCAGUAGGGAGGAAAACCUUAUGGCUAAUACCCAUGAGGCUUGACGUUACCUACAGAAGAAGCACCGGCUAACUCCGUGCC
This 431-nucleotide ribosomal RNA is filed under the name Marinobacter nauticus. Its description in RNAcentral is "bacterial SSU rRNA". It matches the Rfam family "Bacterial small subunit ribosomal RNA", at positions 82 to 509 of the family's 1533-position model. The record is from RNAcentral. Lineage: Bacteria; Pseudomonadati; Pseudomonadota; Gammaproteobacteria; Pseudomonadales; Marinobacteraceae.